This 3999-nucleotide unclassified non-coding RNA is filed under the name Portunus trituberculatus (swimming crab). RNAcentral describes it as "uncharacterized LOC123511476, transcript variant X29". The record is from RNAcentral. Lineage: Eukaryota; Metazoa; Arthropoda; Malacostraca; Decapoda; Portunidae.
UUAGGACUUAUAGUUUUAAGGGUUUCCACAGAACUUAAGGUGAGUCUUUUUGGAAUUUAAUGUUUUACAUGAUAAAAUGGACAGUGAAAAAAGUUUGGAAGGUGGAAACAUUAUUUUUUACAAGAUUUGUUUAUGAUUGCAUUAUUUCAGGUGUUGACAUAACCUUUGCCAGUACACUGUUGGAAAUUUGUUGCUGACUUUUGUAAGGGCUGACAAGGGGACGAUGCCAAGACGAGGAACGAGAGUGGAAUAGUGGAAGCUUUUACUCAUUACUGCCAAGCCAGUGCAGUGUUGGUGUAAGGAAUGCCAAGGGGAUGACACCAAGAUGAGCUAAGGGGAAGGUGCCAAGACGAGCAACGAGAUUGGAGUGAUGGAAAUUUUUGCUAAGUGCUGCCAAGCCAGAAAGGCUUGUGCCAGUGCAGUGUUGGUGUAAGGGAUGGCAAGGGGACGGGCAACGAGACCUGCCCUGACUUUCACCUGCAAUGAGUUGUCUUAGAUGCUCUGAGAUGCCAAGGGGACGAUGCCAAGACGAGGAACGAGAGUGGAAUGGUGGGAGCUUUUACUCAUUACUGCCAAGCCAGUGCAGUGUUGGUGUAAGGGAUGCCAAGGGGACGAUGCCAAGACGAGGAACGAGAGUGGAAUGGUGGAAGCUUUUACUUAUUACUGCCAAGCCAGUGCAGUGUUGGUGUAAGGAAUGCCAAGGGGAUGACGCCAAGAUGAGCUAAGGGGAAGUGAUGGAAAUUUUUGCUAAGUGCUGCCAAGCCAGAAAGGCUUGUGCCAGUGCAGUGUUGGUGUAAGAGAUGCCAAGGGGACGAUGCCAAGACGAGGAACGAGAGUGGAAUGGUGGAAGCUUUUACUCAUUACUGCCAAGCCAGUGCAGUGUUGGUGUAAGGGAUGCCAAGGGGACGACGCCAAGACAAGCAGUGAGAUCUGCCCUGACUUUUACCUGUGUGGAACUUUUUUUGUGUGUGUGUGUGUGUGUGUGUGUGUGUCGAGGUGAGUUAUUCCUGAAGAUAUUGUUCUAUUUCAUAUGUAUACACCUAUUUCUUUAGUGCCUCCCAAGGCAGGCACCACACAUGGAUGCUUUCACGUAGGUGUGGAGCUAUUGUGUGUGGUACGAGACAGCUCUCGUUAUGAAGAAGCCUUGUUUCAAACCAACUUCUUUUAAGAGGAAGGUUUCAAGACAUCUGUUACUUUAUUUUGGCUGACUUUGAUGUGCAAGAGGACUGGCAAUUGUAGGCUUUUUUUACUUGGUCAGUUUCCUUCCUUACAUAAUAUACACACACACACACACACACACACACACACAUACAUACAUACAGUCGCAAAAGAUAAGGCGCGCUCUGAAAAAAAAAUAAUUAUGGUUAGCGCAUCAGAACAUGGGCAGUAACAUUCACCGAGCCUUCCUAACAUUUUGUUGUGUUCCCUUUCCUCUUGAUCACCUCUCGUAGACGCCUGGGGACACUAUCAGCAAGGUUUUCCAUGUGAGACGGAUAUUAGCCCAGAGCUGCUGAAUUGCAGUGGUAAGCUUGGGUACAGAUGAGGUGUCAAGGUUGCGCAAUCCUCUUUUUAUAAUUGACCACAGGUUCUCAAUCGGGUUGAUGUCAGGACUAUUUCCUGGCCAGUCCUUAAAGUAGUUUACCAUGCAGUCAUCUAGCCAAGUAACAACUGACUUGGCGGUAUGGCAGGGAGCACCGUCCUGCAUAAAAAUUCAUGCCCGAGUUUUCUCAAAAGAGUUUGGCAAAUGGUCACACAGUAACUCAAGAUAUACUCCCUGGUUCACUUUAAUGUUCUUUGGCAGCACCACUAAACUGCCAACACCAUAAUAGCUGAAACAGCCCCAUACCAUAAUCGAAUCAGGGUGCUUAACAGUCUUUGUGGUGAACUUGGGGUCCAGAGCGUCACUGUGGGGCCGGCGGUACACCUUGUCAUACCGGCUCCCAGUCACUGUGAAGGUUGCCUCGUCACUCCAUAAUACUCCUCUCCAAUCCUCAUCUGACCACACACUAUAUUUCUUGGCAAAUUUCAAUCUCAGCCCUCUGGACAGUGGUUAGCAGCGGUUUACAUCUGGCCCGGUAGCUAUGAUAACCCAAGUCAUCAUGGAGAAAUUGUUGAAUGCUACGUACUGAUGCGUUGCCAAGCAAAUCUGGGUUAGUUUCCUUCAGUUCUCUUGCUGUACUUCGAGGCCUGCAUUUAGCCUAGUUUUAGCCAUAGUACCGAUUCCGCUGAAAUUUAAGGCGCAACCUCUACCGCGCCUUAUCUUUUCGCGCCGACUGUAUAUAAUCAUACCCAUGGUUUGUAAUUACGUAUCAGCAUAAAAUGAGUUGUCAAAAAUUAUUUGUACUGUUAUAAACAAAGGUGGAUGUUAGUGUUUGAAAAUCUAAUGUUAGUUAAUUACUGGUGAGGCUGUGAUGGACAGAUAGUUGUUGUGGUGGAGAGAGCUGUCUUGAUAAAACGCUGAACACAUUAUGGUAAUAAACGAUAGGAUAUUUAUUUUUAAUAUUAGCUCAGAAAAUUUGUUGGAGGAAAAUAAUAACAAGGUCAAAGGUUUGUAAUUAUUUAGAAAUGUGAUGCCCUGCUGUGCUUGUUAUUGUGAUAGCAACCAUCUCCAUCUUAAUGCAGCAGCUAGCAUGCUAACCUAACUAGAUGUAAACUAACAGCUGAAUCUAACAUAACAACCUAACCAAACAAGUGUUGCAUAGAUAAGAUUUAGUCAGGUAAGGAUGAUUGUGGCAAGAUCAAGGUCAAGAACAUGGAGCUCCUCACAACAAAAUACACCAGGGCUACUAUCUGGCAUACAAGUAAGAGGCUAAGGUUACAGGGAUGUCUUGAACUAUGCAAGGGAUUCAUUCCUAAAGGGAUUGUGAAUAGUGAAUAUGAUUGCUGACCUAGACCGUACAGUAUAUAUCAAAUCUAGAGGGUUGCAUUCAGCCAACAUUAAGUUUAAGACUACAUGUUGGCAGUACACAGGGGAAACGCCGGUGACACCUGGGGCCGUAUUGUAUAGCAUUUUCAUAUAUAAGACAUCCACCAAGAAUUUGCAUUUCCAUCAUAUCAAGCUGAUUUUUUCACAAGUGAGAUUUCCCAUGCUUUAAGUUAGGUUCCAUUGAAAAGAAAGUAUAAAACAACUGUGAAAACUAGGACUCUAUUGUAUAUAUACACACUAUGUAUUUAGAAAAUGAGUGAAGCUUCAUUAGAAAAGGUUAUGUGAAUAUCUUCAUUGUGAGGAGUAAAUGUUUGCAACACCAACUUGAUAUCACCACCAUUGAUAUUCUAGAGCAGUGGUUUCCAAACUGUGGUAUGCGAAGGUCUUCCAGGUGCUUCGUGAGGACUUUCUGGAUCGUAUGCGAUUUUAAUUAAAUUACAUUAAUUCAUAUCUCAGAAAAAUUAUUAUCCCUUGCAUUAAACUGAUUUAUGUUCCGUGUUAUUAGUAUGUUCUACUUGUGAAUAGAUUGAUAUUUGCUGGAAAUGAGUUUUCUGGAGCCAGGUGGUACACAGCGACUGUAUGGGACCCCCAAUUUGUACGCUCAGGAAAAGGUUGGGAACCACUUUUCUUGAGAGUAGGAAUAUUAACAUAAAUGGUUUCAAGAUUAUUGUUAUAAAAGAUUGUAAGUUUAUAAUGUAAAAGGAACAGUAAAAGCAUCGUUACACAUAUAGACAGCCAAUUUAAUUGUAGUUUCUUGUCACCUUUUCAAAGUUGUAUGUUAUUCCAUUUUAGGACUUGAAGGUAGAAACAGGACGAUUUCUCUUGCGAGCCUUAGCUUCUACAAUCAUCUGUGCUUGUCGCUUGAUAAACUUGCGUGUCAAGGUCUCCUCUUCUUCUCCACUAUCUGCUCCUUCUUCAACCUGGAAAAGCAUAUUGUUCUUUUUUUAACGUAUUUCUAUAUUUCUUCCUGUGAAGCAUAUGGGAGUCAUAUAUGCAAGAGGUGUGACAUUUGAUCAUUGAAAUCCACCAUAUAUGAUCAGCUUGUUGCUUAUCAAAUUAAAUUAAUAAUCUGU